CCUACGGGGGGCAGCAGUGGGGAAGAUUGCACAAUGGGGGAAACCCUGAUGCAGCGACGCCGCGUGAGUGAGGAAGAAUUUCGGUAUGUAAAGCUCUAUCAGCAGGGAAGAAAAUGACGGUACGUGACUAAGAAGCCGCGGCUAACUACGGGCCAGCAGCCUCGGUAAUACGUAGGGGGCAAGCGUGAUCCGGAUUGACUGGGUGUAAAGGGAGCGUAGCCGGCUACUCAAGUCAGAAGUGAAAACCCAGGGCUCACCCUUGGGACUGCUUUUGAAACUGAGUAGCUAGAGUGCAGGAGAGGUAAGCGUAAUUCCUAGUGUCGCGUUUAAAUGCGUAGAUAUUAGGAGGAACACCAGUGGCGAAGGCGGCUUACUGGACUGUAACUGACGUUGCGGCUCGCAAGCGUGGGGAGCAAACAGGAUUAGAUACCCCAGUAGUC
Molecule: ribosomal RNA, 440 nt
Filed under: uncultured bacterium
Lineage: Bacteria
Description: partial 16S ribosomal RNA
Rfam family: Bacterial small subunit ribosomal RNA
Source: RNAcentral